RNAcentral lists this RNase P RNA (370 nucleotides) under Sphingobacteriales bacterium 44-15. RNAcentral's name for it is "RNase P RNA component class A". It matches the Rfam family "Bacterial RNase P class A". From Rfam's summary of the family: Ribonuclease P (RNase P) is a ubiquitous endoribonuclease, found in archaea, bacteria and eukarya as well as chloroplasts and mitochondria. Its best characterised activity is the generation of mature 5'-ends of tRNAs by cleaving the 5'-leader elements of precursor-tRNAs. Cellular RNase Ps are ribonucleoproteins. RNAcentral also lists the same sequence under 1 other name. Lineage: Bacteria; Pseudomonadati; Bacteroidota; Sphingobacteriia; Sphingobacteriales. The record is from RNAcentral.
CUGCAUGGCUGUGCUAUCGUGGGCAUCUGAAAAAGAUGGUCAAGGAAAGUCCGGACAGCGCAGGGCAACGCACCGGUUAACCGCCGGGUCCCGUUUCUGACGGGAACAGAUAGUGCCACAGAAAAUAACCGUCGCGCCGCAGGCGUGAUAAGGGUGAAAAUGUGAGGUAAGAGCUCACGAUAUCAUGGGGUAACCUGUGAUAUGGGUAAACCUUGCGUGCUGAAAUGCUAUGUAUACCCCGAUCUUUUGCCUGCCCGGCAAAAUUCCCCCGGGAUAUCGGGGAGGGUAAGCAGAUAGAUCCCGGCAGCAAUGCCGGGGCCAGAUAAAUGAUAGCACCCGACAGAAUCCGGCUUACAGGUCAUGCAGUAAA